AAACCAACAGGGAUUGCCCCAGUAGCGGCGAGUGAAGCGGCAAGAGCUCAGAUUUGAAAUCGUGUUUCGGCACGAGUUGUAGAGUGUAGGCGGGAGUCUCUGUGGAGCGCGGUGUCCAAGUCCCUUGGAACAGGGUGCCUGAGAGGGUGAGAGCCCCGUAGGGUGCUGCGCGAAGCUUUUGAGGCCCUGCUGACGAGUCGAGUUGUUUGGGAAUGCAGCUCCAAGCGGGUGGUAAAUUCCAUCUAAGGCUAAAUAUUGGCGAGAGACCGAUAGCGAACAAGUACUGUGAAGGAAAGAUGAAAAGCACUUUGAAAAGAGAGUGAAACAGCACGUGAAAUUGUUGAAAGGGAAGGGUAUUGGGCUCGACAUGGGGGGUGCGCACCGCUGUCUCUUGUAGGCGGCGCUCUGGGCGCCCUCUGGGCCAGCAUCGGUUCCUGCUGCGGGAGAAGGGGCUCCGGAAAGUGGCUCUUCGGAGUGUUAUAGCCGGGGCCAGAUGCUGCGUGUGGGGACCGAGGACUGCGGCUUCUUU
Molecule: ribosomal RNA, 529 nt
Filed under: Pichia manshurica
Lineage: Eukaryota; Fungi; Ascomycota; Pichiomycetes; Pichiales; Pichiaceae
Description: LSU rRNA
Rfam family: Eukaryotic large subunit ribosomal RNA
Source: RNAcentral